GACGAACGCUGGCGGCAUGCCUAAUACAUGCAAGUCGAGCGGAGUUGAUGGAAAGCUUGCUUUCCUGAUACUUAGCGGCGGACGGGUGAGUAACACGUAGGCAACCUGCCCUCAAGCUUGGGACAACUACCGGAAACGGUAGCUAAUACCGAAUACUUGUUUUCUUCGCCUGAAGAGAACUGGAAAGACGGAGCAAUCUGUCACUUGGGGAUGGGCCUGCGGCGCAUUAGCUAGUUGGUGAGGUAACGGCUCACCAAGGCGACGAUGCGUAGCCGACCUGAGAGGGUGAUCGGCCACACUGGGACUGAGACACGGCCCAGACUCCUACGGGAGGCAGCAGUAGGGAAUCUUCCGCAAUGGGCGAAAGCCUGACGGAGCAAUGCCGCGUGAGUGAUGAAGGUUUUCGGAUCGUAAGCUCUGUUGCCAGGGAAGAACGCUUGGGAGAGUAACUGCUCCCAAGGUGACGGUACCUGAGAAGAAAGCCCCGGCUAACUACGUGCCAGCCGCCGCAGUAA
Molecule: ribosomal RNA, 515 nt
Filed under: uncultured bacterium
Lineage: Bacteria
Description: partial 16S ribosomal RNA
Rfam family: Bacterial small subunit ribosomal RNA
Source: RNAcentral